ACCAUGUGUGGACACAGCAAGAAGGCAGCAUCUAUAAGCUAGGAAGGAGGCCCUCACCAGACUUGGAAUCUGCUGGCUUCCUGAUCUUGGCCUUUCUAGCCUCCAGAACUAUUGCCCGGGAAUGCCUUCAGGAGACUCCUUAAGAUGGACCUCAGGGAUGCAGAUGCCUUGCCUUCUGCACUGCAGCCUCUGAAUUGCUUGCUACUUUCUUACUUGUGCACAGCAAGGGGGCAUAAUUACCCAUUGGCAAGUGCUUCUGGCCUCUGGACUUCAGGGACCUAGACGUUCAAAGCCUGCUGGAAUAAAAGAACUUCCUAAGGUUCAGAACACAACCUAACACCAGCAUUCAGGGAAACAACACAAAGACUUGUCCAUGAUGGUUACAGCCACCCAAAAAAGCCAUCUUCA
Long non-coding RNA from Homo sapiens (human), 408 nucleotides. Ensembl annotates it as long intergenic non-protein coding RNA 331. NCBI's taxonomy places the organism in Eukaryota, Metazoa, Chordata, Mammalia, Primates, Hominidae. The record is from Ensembl.